Long non-coding RNA from Chinchilla lanigera (long-tailed chinchilla), 1677 nucleotides. Lineage: Eukaryota; Metazoa; Chordata; Mammalia; Rodentia; Chinchillidae. The record is from Ensembl.
AUUGUUUACUCUUGCAAUCAACAUACCUAUGCCAGACUUUGACUGCACAGUGAAAGGAAAAGGAGCUGUGGAGCUCUCACUUCAGAGACCAGAUGCAUUGCUAAUAUUAAAGCUUCAGGGUGAAGUUCUUGGCCCAGAAGUUAAGGACAUAAGUGCUGAUCCAGGUUAAUAGCGAAUUCAGCAAUCAGUUUGUCCUGCCAAAGACUCUGAAUGCGAUAUGUUACUGCCACUAGGAACUUCGGUGGCUGGUACAGAGACAAGUGGUAAAAACGCACAUUUUGGUAGAAAGAACCUUAAACUGGAUAUGUGGAUUAUGAAUUCAGAGAAGACUGAAUUGCACUGUUGUCCUUAUCUCUCACUCUUGGAUUAUUUACAUGAAAUUGCUGACCUAUGUCUUCUCACGUUGUGAAAGCGACAAACGACCGAGCGAGAAGGGAAAGGAGCAAUGCGGGACAAACAGACACCUCGGCGAAGACUGGUGGCCAUCCCAGUGCUGCGCUCUGGCGGUGCAGCGCAGGCGGGCUCUUCCUCUGGGAGCCAGAAAAUUGCCUCACAGUCUUACAGGCUCAAUCCCAAGAACCUAUGGACAUGAAGAGAUACUGUCGUCGUACGCCACAGUCAUCCCUAAGACAGGGACAUUGUCCAGACAGAUCUGUGGAGUCAUGUGUGGCAUUCAGCUCCAGCUCGGAAAGGACUUGCUUCAUCUUUGCUGGGUUGAGAUGGAGAGGAUUAUGCAAAAAGGAACAUUCAGGACAUGACCUUAGGGAGCUGACUGGAGUCCUGACUGACAACCAACAAGGAAGUAAGAACUGUGGCUCUACGUUAGGAAGUCUCUAGAUCGUGCCAAAAAUUAGGAUAACCUUGGAAGCAGAUUGCUUUCUCCACAGGGUCCUUAGGCUCCAAAUAUAGUUAUAGAGGAAUUUUUGCAUGGUGAGACACGGAAUACACAGGUGAGCCCACAGAUAUACCGUACCUGCAGAGCUGUGAUAAGUAGACAUUUUCAGAUACUAGCUUUUCGAUAGUUUGUUGGAGUAGUGAUGGGAAAUGGGUAUGAGACCUAACAGAUUUGAGGGUUUUAUCACCAAUUUAGACAAAUUUGUCAGCUUUAUCUAGACUUGAUAAUUAGGCCUCCAAACUCAAGGAUACCUUUAUGUAAACAGCACACCAAUUAUUUUCUUUACUGGAAUUAGUAAUUAUUUAAAUGAAAUUUUGGAUAAAUUUUAAAUUCACUUUUUUGUAGUUCCCCUCCAUCUCUCUGACUUCCAGCUAGUUCAGACCAAUAAAGGAACCACUGAUUUGAUGCAAAUCAAAUCCACCUGUGUCAGCAUUUUAGCCCAGACCUUUGAUUCAACUCCCCUCUCUCCUUUCUUGUUUUCUUUUUAAGAAAUUUCUACAUGCUUCUCCAUAGGCAUGACAAGGAAAAGUGGAAACACAGUUCUCCAAAGUUCCUGGGUAUUUGUUCAGUUGUUUCUGAACACUCAGCACAAGGGAAUCACCCCUAUGAUAACAUACUUUGCUUUUAAAUUAUUCCUCAAUACUUCAUGCUACUCCUGAGAGUCAGUGAUGUAUUCUGAAAAAAAAAAGAAGUAUCUAUUUUAAGUAGCUAGCUCCGUAAGUGUUCCAGAGACAGAUGUCUGAAGAUCAUUCUCAAGCUUUUUUAAAGAUACACUUGAGGGA